GAGUAAAUAUCACAUGCUAAAAUUAUUACGGGACUAUCCUAUUCAGUACCACAACCACGGUUAAUGAAAUAUGAUCAAGUAAAACACAACGUACAUGUAUUCGCCUCAAUACAAAAUGGAAAACCAUAUAAUAUAUUGUAGUUAUUAAUGGUCAUGAAGACCACUAGUGACACAAUAAAGUUGUAUAAAUUUAUGAUCGAUGUGGGUUGGAAAAUAUAGUGUUAUUAUGAAAAUAUAAAAUGUAUCUAAUAUCAUACAAGGAAGAUUUUAGCCAGACUGAUCUAUACUCCAUCUUUGAAAAAGUAACAAAUAUAGUAAGUGCAUUGUUAUAAACUGAACUUUUACUUUUUAGACUAACUUUAUGCAGCAAUGUGUUAGACUGUAUGCCUUCAUUUGAAUAAAAAUAUCAUAAAUUUCAAAUUUCAAAUAAAAUUGAAAGAAAACCCACAUCGACAGGAAAGAAAAGACAUUAAAGCUGCUUUAUUUUUCAAUUCAACAUUUUAGGUUUACUUUAUAAAGCUCGUUAUUCAUAUGCAUGACAAUUCGUAAGCAAUUUGGUAUAUGUAUAUCAAGUUAUACUAUUGCUGUCUUUGAUUGUGCAUUUCGUAUCUCGUCUCUCUUUCAGAUUGCAACCAAGACAAUUUUGAACGAAUAAAACUACACUGAUUGAUAAAUAAACAAACAUUGUUUAUUCUUUGGCAAUCAUUCCACAUCUUCUAUUUUAUAUUUAUGUUCUUUUCUUAGCUUAUUAUGAUCACUUGGGAACAGUUUGUGCACACAUAUACAAGUGUUUUUUUUUUAAUUUUUAGUAUCAUCAACAGUAUUUUCAAAUGACCAUACACUUAUGCAGACAUUUGUUGAAUUGUUACUUUGCUAUAAUUGACUUAUGAUUUUCAAGUAACAAAAUUGCAUGUUAGAAUGUGCUUAAAACAUCAAAAUUUAAUAGCAACAAGCUUAUCCCUAAAUGCGUAUUACGCAGAAGGGCAGGCUAGAUAAAUAUUUUCUGUUGGUGAUUGUCCUAAUUGUGUAUUAUAGCAUGUUUAAUUCAUAUUUACUUUAAUGUGUUUAUUUCUUAAGCUAGAUUAUCUACAGUAUCGAAAAACUAUAUAUUCAAUAUCAUAAACACUUCAAUAAAAUUCCAUGGUCAAUAAAUAAUGUAAAUAAACAUAUUUAGGCAUUGGUCAAUUAUGUACAUAGCAGUAAUGGUCAUUUUGUUUGUUUGUCCACUUACGUUAUCAUUAUCGUAAUGGUCAACACGUCAACUGACAUCUGACCACAACAUCAGACUUGAGUAUUGUUAUCAAACAAUCCUUGACAUUUCAUAACAGUCCUCUUGUACUUUCUAUGUGGUUAAUGUUAUAGCCAUCUUUGUGGUCAAUUUGAUGGCCCUAAUGAUUGCAUGAAAAUGUGUCGAUAUUUCCGAAUUACUACAUCAGUUAAAAUAAUCUUUGUUUCUUAAUAGUCAAAACAAUUUUUUUUUUAGGAAAACUUAUACAGCUAUAUAACCGUAAAGCUGUAGAGAAUACCAUGUACUGGUCCGAAGAAAAACUACUCGAACAACAGAGGGAUUCCGACUGCUGUUAUUUGGAAUUUUCUUCAAAACUAUAUGUAUUGAUCAAUUUCAUUCAGAAGUGGAUUUAGUGGGGAAAGGGCCCGGUCUCCUUAUGGGGCUUCAUAUACGAUAAAUGCUUAAACUUUUAACACGUAUCACUCCAAACGUUGGCUUGAAAGCUGCCACCCCUUUAUAAAACAGGAUUCACACCUUUAAUGGAUAGGAACAGAUGGGCCAACAAACUACAACUUUCGAACACGUUUUAUUUUUUUUCUAUUUUGUAAUUUUGUAGUCAAUUUAGAUUUCAUAAUUUCAUUUUAGAAAAGGCAUAAAAGAGCCAUCACAAGUGAAACAUAGAGACAUCGGCAUGGUAAAAUUUGUUCAUAACUAAUCCAAUAAAACUCUGCAGAUUUCGGGUUUAAGCUAUGUAUGUGUCUAUUAGAAAGUAUGAAUGUAUGCUUCCUAUGUCAAAUUAAGGAAUUGUAUAUUCUUUCCUUAAUUAAAUACUAGAACAGAAAUAAUCUCUGGGAAUGUUUCGUUCUUGCCUUAUUCCUGAUUCCGAUCAUGUCACUUAGUGCUUAUCUAUUGAUGUAUAUUUUUUAAAUUGAAGUAUUUUGUAAUCACAUUAUAGUAUUCUUCAAUAUAAAUAUUUCCUGUUUGUUAAAUUCACAUUAACGAUAAACGGAACCAAAAACUUUCUCCUAUGAACGUCAAUAAAUACUAAAUAAAUAUACAAGGUUCACAGAGUAAAACAUAGUUACCAACAAUUAAUAAACGCACACCUUUGAGCUAAUUGGUACAGCAUUUAUGUCUCAUAUCAAAGGUUAGUUUGUCAGUACAAUGCAUACAAUGUAUGGAAAACAAAUAUAGCAUUUACAACUUUUUUGUGGACUUUAUUAAUUCACACACGCAUACAUAUUUUAAUAUGUUCCGAUAUCACGACCAUUGUCUCAAAUAAACACGAAAGCGCACUACAACGGAUGUGAUAACGAAUUUACAGUCUAUUUUAGCCAUUUAGAUGGUUUCGGAGAAACAUGUGUAAAUGAGGAGUGGAUAAGUUAUUUAAUCGGAAUUCUACUAAAAAUAUGGAAUUUGAAUCAGGAUGCAAUUUAACUAUUUAUUCUUAUGAAGCGCC
RNAcentral lists this long non-coding RNA (2687 nucleotides) under Mytilus galloprovincialis (Mediterranean mussel). Lineage: Eukaryota; Metazoa; Mollusca; Bivalvia; Mytilida; Mytilidae. The record is from RNAcentral.